GUGACUGCCGUUCUCCUCCCUCCCGGAUCAGUCCGCAUGUUCAUGGCGCCAGCAUUUGUUAUGGAAUAUAUUGAGCAAACGUGGAGAUAUUAUUGUUGUCAUUGCUGUGGAUCUUUACUGACUUGGCUCGGGACCAGCACUCCUGUUGUUGGACAGAAAGACAUCAACUUGAGAUAUGACUGCACUAUGCUGUUGCUGUGACUCCAGUUAAUUCUACAAGACAUGCUGUGACACCAGGAGAGAUGAGUCCCCCGUCACAGAUGGUCAGUGAAGAUGGUCGCCUGCAGGUUCAAGCUCAUUGCAUCUCCAACCCACAUCCACUGCCACUGUACUUAAGGGAAGUUAAAGACUUUCUUCUGCACUUACAUUUGGAUCACCUCGAUCCAUGACAGUCAUUCAGGCAGUGAUGCCUGGACUGGAAACAAGCAUCCUUAAAAUAUUACAACAUUCCAGCUCCUGUGUUGGAAUGCAAAACAAAUGUGUUGUUUAAAUUAGAGACUGCACUUGUGACAGAACAAUAAAUAUUUGAUGUUGAUUAUAUAAAUAAUGUAAGUACAAAACAAACUUGUGGUAGGCCUAAACUUAUUUUCAGAAUAAUUACAUCUAAGACUUUGUUUCGUUUUAAGAUUAUAACAGUGAUGGCAAUAUCAUUUUUAUUCAGCAGAACAGUGUCCAG
RNAcentral lists this long non-coding RNA (676 nucleotides) under Oreochromis niloticus (Nile tilapia). RNAcentral describes it as "lncRNA (ENSONIG00000024338.2)". Lineage: Eukaryota; Metazoa; Chordata; Actinopteri; Cichliformes; Cichlidae. The record is from RNAcentral.